GAUGAACGCUAGCUACAGGCUUAACACAUGCAAGUCGAGGGGUAACGAGAGGAAAGCUUGCUUUCCUUGUCGACGACCGGCGCACGGGUGAGUAACGCGUAUCCAACCUGCCCCCAACUAGGGAAUAACCUUGCGAAAGUAAGACUAAUACCCUAUAAUUUCCUCAGAUGACAUCUGACGAGGAAUAAAGAUUUAUCGGUUGUGGAUGGGGAUGCGUCUGAUUAGCUUGUUGGCGGGGUAACGGCCCACCAAGGCAACGAUCAGUAGGGGUUCUGAGAGGAAGGGCCCCCACAUUGGAACUGAGACACGGUCCAAACUCCUACGGGAGGCAUCAGUGAGGAAUAUUGGUCAAUGGGCGGAAGCCUGAACCAGCCAAGUAGCGUGCAGGAUGACGGCCCUAUGGGUUGUAAACUGCUUUUAUACAGGAAUAAAGUUAGCCACGUGUGGUUAUUUGUAGGUACUGUAUGAAUAAGGACCGGCUAAUUCCGUGCCAGCCGCCGCAGUAA
This 506-nucleotide ribosomal RNA is filed under the name uncultured bacterium. RNAcentral describes it as "partial 16S ribosomal RNA". It matches the Rfam family "Bacterial small subunit ribosomal RNA", at positions 28 to 523 of the family's 1533-position model. The record is from RNAcentral.